This 933-nucleotide ribosomal RNA is filed under the name Burkholderia ambifaria. Its description in RNAcentral is "bacterial LSU rRNA". It matches the Rfam family "Bacterial large subunit ribosomal RNA", at positions 167 to 1130 of the family's 2925-position model. The record is from RNAcentral. Lineage: Bacteria; Pseudomonadati; Pseudomonadota; Betaproteobacteria; Burkholderiales; Burkholderiaceae.
UAAGGCCAUGCGAGCGACGCGGUGAACUGAAACAUCUAAGUAACCGCAGGAAAAGAAAUCAACCGAGAUUCCCAAAGUAGUGGCGAGCGAAAUGGGAUGAGCCUUGUACUCUUUAUUUGUAUUGUUAGCCGAACGCUCUGGAAAGUGCGGCCAUAGCAGGUGAUAGCCCUGUAGGCGAAAACAGUAUGAAAGAACUAAGUGUACGACAAGUAGGGCGGGACACGUGAAAUCCUGUCUGAAGAUGGGGGGACCAUCCUCCAAGGCUAAAUACUCGUGAUCGACCGAUAGUGAACCAGUACCGUGAGGGAAAGGCGAAAAGAACCCCGGGAGGGGAGUGAAAUAGAUCCUGAAACCGCAUGCAUACAAACAGUCGGAGCCUCGUAAGGGGUGACGGCGUACCUUUUGUAUAAUGGGUCAGCGACUUACGUUCAGUAGCAAGCUUAACCGUAUAGGGCAGGCGUAGCGAAAGCGAGUCCGAAUAGGGCGUUCAGUUGCUGGGCGUAGACCCGAAACCAAGUGAUCUAUCCAUGGCCAGGAUGAAGGUGCGGUAACACGUACUGGAGGUCCGAACCCACUAACGUUGAAAAGUUAGGGGAUGAGCUGUGGAUAGGGGUGAAAGGCUAAACAAACUUGGAAAUAGCUGGUUCUCUCCGAAAACUAUUUAGGUAGUGCCUCGUGUCUCACCUUCGGGGGUAGAGCACUGUCAUGGUUGGGGGGUCUAUUGCAGAUUACCCCGCCAUAGCAAACUCCGAAUACCGAAGAGUGCAAUCACGGGAGACAGACAUCGGGGUGCUAACGUCCGGUGUCAAGAGGGAAACAACCCAGACCGCCAGCUAAGGUCCCCAAAAUAUAGCUAAGUGGGAAACGAAAGUGGGGAAGGGCUAAAACAGUCAGGAGGGUGGGCCUUUAGAAGCAGCCCACCCUUUUAAAGAA